GAUGAACGCUGGCGGCGUGCCUAAUACAUGCAAGUCGAGCGAACGGACGAGAAGCUUGCUUUUCUGAUGUUAGCGGCGGACGGGUGAGUAACACGUGGAUAACCUACCUAUAAGACUGGGAUAACUUCGGGAAACCGGAGCUAAUACCGGAUAAUAUUUUGAACCGCAUGGUUCAAAAGUGAAAGACGGUCUUGCUGUCACUUAUAGAUGGAUCCGCGCUGCAUUAGCUAGUUGGUAAGGUAACGGCUUACCAAGGCAACGAUGCAUAGCCGACCUGAGAGGGUGAUCGGCCACACUGGAACUGAGACACGGUCCAGACUCCUACGGGAGGCAGCAGUAGGGAAUCUUCCGCAAUGGGCGAAAGCCUGACGGAGCAACGCCGCGUGAGUGAUGAAGGUCUUCUGAUCGUAAAACUCUGUUAUUAGGGAAGAACAUAUGUGUAAGUAACUGUGCACAUCUUGACGGUACCUAAACAGAAAGCCACGGCUAACUACGUG
RNAcentral lists this ribosomal RNA (497 nucleotides) under uncultured bacterium. Its description in RNAcentral is "partial 16S ribosomal RNA". It matches the Rfam family "Bacterial small subunit ribosomal RNA", at positions 28 to 507 of the family's 1533-position model. The record is from RNAcentral.